RNAcentral lists this transfer RNA (57 nucleotides) under Steganacarus magnus. RNAcentral describes it as "tRNA-His". Lineage: Eukaryota; Metazoa; Arthropoda; Arachnida; Sarcoptiformes; Steganacaridae. The record is from RNAcentral.
CUAUUAUUGGUUUAGAUUUUUAAAACAGUCUGUGGAACUGAAGAAAAGUCUAAUAAU